Non-coding RNA from Rattus norvegicus (Norway rat), 9031 nucleotides. The record is from RefSeq and is a predicted model, not a curated record. Lineage: Eukaryota; Metazoa; Chordata; Mammalia; Rodentia; Muridae.
GGAAGCCUUUCUUCCGAACUGCACUAAGAGCAGGGGAUUUGGACUUUUGCAGAAGAAAGGACUACCGCUCCCGUCCUUCCCCUUCCUCAAAAGAAACCAGUCGGAAACCAAAGCAGGAACCAUGUUUUUAUUUCAAAACCUUUUUGAGUCCUGAGAUCCACCCCGGUCCUCUGUCACCUUACCAAGUCUGUUGAAAAUUGAUACUGUUACCAGGCACGGCAGUGCAGUCUUGUAACCACAGCUACCAGGCAAGUUCAAAGCCAGCCAAAACAACUUAAGACUAUCUCAACGGGGGGGGGGGGGGGGGGGGGGCAGGGAUGUAUCGAAGUGGCAGGACACACGCAAAGCACAAAGAGAGAACCACUACACUAGUCCAUGUGUGGUGGCACACACCUUCAGUCUGAGCACUGACAGGCUGAGUUUGAGGCCAAUCUGGUCUAUCUAGUGAGUUCCAGGCUAAGCAGGGCUAUGUAGAGACGACCCUAUAUAAUAAUAAUAAUAAUAAUAAUAAUAAUAAUAAUAAUAAUAAUACCAAUAACCCUAUCUAAAGAAUAUUAAUUAAAAGUGUAAAGAGAGAAAGAAAACUGGCAACUAGGGCUGCUGUAAGUUCCAGGCCAACCUGAGUAAAAGGAAAAAGAAAAAAGGACUUCCAUAAUAAAGGGCUUGCCUGUCUUGCCUGAGGCCCUGGAGUCAACCCAGCAGCACCACAUAAACUGGAGCAAUCGAACUCCAGUGGGCGGUAGACAGGAGGUACAGGUAGGAGGAUCAGAGUUCAAGGGCAUUCUUGGCUGCGAUACCGAAAUUCUGUCUCAAAAAACAGGAUGAAGAGAAAGUUGCUGGCUAGAAAUGGCACUCCGUGGCACGGGCAGAACGCUGUGUUCAACCUCCAACACCAAGAAGAUGGAAACCCCACAAAUCUCAAGGUUCCUCUCACCAUCACUCUUGGGGUUCCCCAGGACCUUGAGCACCUCGGCGUUGGUAGGGUUCUGGCCCAGGGCCCGCAUCAGGUCCCCACACUGGCUGUACAGGAUCUUGCCAUCACCCACUCGGUCAAACAGCUCAAAGGCCUCUCUGAACUCUGAGAUGUAGGGAGAAGGCAAUGUGACCAGGGAUUCCCAUCACCUCCAGCCGGAAGGGAGGUUUGCUUUAGAAAUUAUGUGCUCGAGCUGGGCACAGGAGGGAGGAGAACAGGACAAGUGUGGGAGGUUUCAAGGUCAGGACUGUCGUUAGGGAACAGAGAAUCGGACCAGGAGUUUGGUGUUGGACAAUGGGGCUUAGGAAACAGGCUUCUCCUCACCCUCCAGCUGGUCCUUGUUAAACUCGAUCUGUAGGGGACAAAAAGGGCAGGUGAGGAGAUGACAGGGCUUAUUCAGUCCCUCUCUAGCACAACCAACUGGCAGCCACUUCUGGGGAGGGGCCCAAAGGGAUGAGGCUGGGAGCCCGGCCACUUUAGUCCCAUUCCCAGCCCUGGGCUUUGGGAGCACCCCAAGAGGAAUUAUAGGGGGAGGGUUUCUUGGGAGCAGGGUUAAUCCCAUACCACCUGUUCCCUUCCCUCCCGCUACCCCAGUCCUGCAUCCCUCACAUAACUGGGGGCUGAACAAAGGCUAAAUUUACCCCUGCCCCCAGCUGUGAUUGUCUAACAAGUCUGUCCUCUUCAGUCUCCCCUCCUGGGGUUCAACAGCUGAGCCAGGAGCAGACAGCACCUCUCUCCCCUGGAAACUGGCCUGGCCUGGGAGCCCCAACCUCAUUCUAGCGGUUCAUUCAUUCCCUACCCUUCCCACAUCUUCCCGGUCCCCAAUCCCCAAGGCUGCACUGCACCUUUGAACUACCCCUUCCAGAUUCACACACUUCCCAGGACUCACCACCACUUUGGAGAGAUCAACAGGGGGCUCUUGGGUUUUCACAGGGGUCUGGGGGGCAGCUGGCUCGGCCUUGGUCUUGGCUAGAGGGGUCCCUGCUGUAGACUUGGCAGCAGGCUUAGAGAUGGAGGGUCCUGCUGGCUUCUUCACAGGAGCAUCCUUCUUGGGAGGCAUGAUGUCAGGUGGCAGAAGAGCAGUGUGCCGACAGGGGCACCAUCUCUGUUUAAAUAGGCAGGGAGUCUGGGGUGUCAAGGGGCGGGGGCAGCGGCGGGGACAGGGAGCCAGUUGGCAAGGGUGAGGGAGAAGAAACUUCUGCCUGUCUGCCCUCACUCCCCUGGCCGCCUGUGGUAAAGAGCUCUUGCCCCCAAAGUAUUCUUCCUCCUGACACCACUCCCCUAAGGCUGAACAGAAUGUUUUCUUUAAGGGUACAGGGAAGAAACAAGGGACUUCUCAGAACAGGGACUGGUAACCUCCAGGGUGACGAUAGGACGUUUGCCAGUGAUUCUGAGAUAGGAGCUAAGGGAAGAGAGAAAAAACUAAACUAAAAAGCAAACAAAAGCUUUCAUUACUUUUAGACUGUGGAAAAGCCCAAGCAGAGCAAGGACUUAGGGGUGGCAUGGGGGUAUGGGGGUGUGAAGGGUAUGGGGGUAUGGGGGCGGGACAGAGUAACAACCUAGUGUCAAGUGGGAAGUUUUAAAAUAUGUUCUGGAAACAUUAAAGGUGAGAGAAGGGGGUCUUUUCACUCCUUUCUGCUCAUUCCUGUAUCUUUAGAACUCGAAGUCCCUGGGCCCCCACCUACCCCCACCCCCGCACUGUAACCAUAGCAUGGCAUUACCCACUGAAUCCUACACCUAAUGCUGAUUUAGGGGUUCCAGUGUAGGCAAGGUUUAGCAUCUGUCACAUAUAAUUCCAAAGAAGGAACAUUUUCCAACAAGACAAUGUUAUUCAAAUCAGACAAGAGGCUAGGAUGAGGAGACACAGACAGACAGACAGGCAGGCAGGCAGGCAGGCGCUCGUGUGCGCACACACACACACACACACACACACACUCACACUCACACAGAGGGAGAGGACCCUGGGAGACAAUGAGCCCUCUAAUACCCCAAAAAGGUUACAGAAUCUCCUAAGAAGUUGGUAGGUAUCCACACUGGCACCCAACCAGUCAGGAUCACAACAAAAACCUUGGCUCAGCUUUGAGUCACAAACCUUGCUGGAAGCGCUGGCAAAGGGAAGAGAUGAUGUUUGGGAGCUGGAAGGGAGUUCUGGCUACUCUCUUCUUGGAUAAAGAAGAUUUAGGUAGCAUUCUGAGAGACUGGUCAUUCCACUUAGGCCCUGGAGUUCACAGAGUGGCAGUGUGUCUUCCAUUUGUAAAGGCGUCAGAAUCUUUUUACUGCAAAUUGUCCCAUUUUUGGAAAAUAAGGAAUCCUUCCGCAAACAACACACCAGUUUCCCUCACUUACACUCACUCCUAAGCCUUAGAGAGGAAAAAGGCCCUCCCAGCCCCUCAAAACUCACCUUGCCGGUUCCAAGGAAGGGGCAGGUGGGGGGGCGGGACUCAGGGCAGCUCCGGUCCCUGAAGGGUUAACAGCGGCGGGCGCAGAGCAUGCUGGGAGUCGUAGUCCACGCACGCCCACGUGCUCGCAGGAAACCUUCCCCCGGUGGUGAGAGUUGGCGGUCACUUCCGGCCCGUGGUGGCAAUUGUUGACUCAGACACUGAGGCGUGCGCCAGUUCCGGAAUUGAAAGGGCUUGAGACGUCCCCACCCUUGACCCUAGGGAUGCAGACUCAGGGACGCCCGCAAGGCCAGGGGCGGGGCCGGGCGGUAGGCAGGCGGAGGCUGGGGCUGCUUUCGCUUCCUCAGGCCGUUAGCUGCGGCGUCACGUAACUUGAAGAGUUUCGCAUUUUUAUUUUAUUUUUUUACACAUUUGAUCUUAGCCGAAAAGCCUAGAGGCUGGCGACUGAGGUAGAUGUUAAGAUUUACAGUUUAGCCUGGUCAUCUGCUCCAGACUUUCCUCCGUGUGCAGGCGUCGGCUGACGCCGCCUAUGCAGCGCGUUCGUCCCCGGGAGAUCCCCAACAAAUGCAGCGCUGGGCUCUGCAGCCUUUCCUUCCUUUUCCGACACCAUUGCCCAGCCUGAGUGUUUGCUUUCUCCCUAGCGUUUACCGAAGGUUUGGGUGCAGAGAGGGAACCGACCCACCGUCCCGAACCACAUAAAUAAAUAACUCUGGCAGCGCGCCUCAUCCUAGAGCUUGUGCAAGAAAGUGGACCAGAAAUAGCUCAGGGUAGAAGACUCCCAGCGGCACCGUAGGAAGAAUGAGAUAUAAACCAAUUUUGUAGCCAGAAGCUAGAGAAAACUCCGAAGAGUAAAAAGGUCUGUACGGGUGCAAGGGAUGUAGCGCAGUUGGUAAAGUGCUUGCUCCCCAUGUAUAGAGCUCUGGGUCCCAGCACUCAGGAGGUGCAGACAGGUCAGUGGGCACGUAGGGAGUUCAGGCCAGCCUGGGCUAAGUGAGAUCCAGUCUCAGAGCGGAAAGAAAAGGAAUAACCUGAUACAGGAAACAAUAUUCCAGGUGACUGCUCCGCAGACUGCACACUAAUAAAGGGAGUGACCUCUCUCGAGGUACUCUGUGGUGCUGAUCAAGACUUCAGGCCCCGCGGAGCCUGUACUGUCAUUUGGCCCCCAUGUAAAAUAACUCUCAUGAUUAGACAUGUUAACAUUUUUUUUUCAUUGAGACAGGGCCUGUCUACAUAGCGCUGACUGUCCUGGAACUCAGAUCCACCUGCCUCUGCCUCCCUGUAGGGGAUAAAGGCUUGCACCACCAUGCCUAGCCCAAAGUUUUAUUUUUAUGUGGGUGAAGAUCCAGGACAGCCAGGGCUACAGAUGAGAGGGGUCGGGGUGUGUAUGUGUGAGGAGAAUCGGAAGUCCUGAGUUAGUCUCGGCUAUGAAGUUUUAGUCCAUCCUGGGACACAAGAGCUUGUCUUAAACUUGAAAACAAGAACAAUGAAGCAGACGUGGUGGUACAUAAAUGUAAUCCCAGCUUUGGGAGUGAAGAAACAAGCCUGGGAUAUACAGUGAGAAGCUGUCUCACCCACAACAGUGAUUAAGUGCUGAAGCGAGAGCUUGCUGGUGGAGCAGUUGUCUGCACCGCUCAGGUUCUGGGUUCAGUCUCCGUCAUCAUCAAAAAGGAAUCAUUUUCUUUUUGAGGCAAGGUGUUUUAUACUGAUCUUAAUAGAUAUGUAGUCCAGUGUGACUUUUUUUGUUGUUUUGUUUUUCCCAAUGGUCUCACCAUGCUGCUCUGGCUGGCCCACUCUGCCCCUGUUACCCUGUGUUCUAAGGUGCUUGAGGUUGAACCCAGAGCUUUCUGCAUGCCAGGCAAGCUCUCUACCUCAUAGUGCUAAAAAGAAAGAAGUGUCACUAAUCACACAGCACUGUAUCAUUUCAGAAACUCGAAUGCUUGUGGCUUCACCCCGUACAACUAGAUUUUUCUCUUUGUUUUAUUUAUUUUGAGACAGGGUUUCUGUCCAUAGACUUAGCUGUUGCCUUUUUUCUCUUUAGCUAUUUUAUCGAGUUCUUAUACUUUUAUCUCCCUUCCAACCCUUAUCCACCUUUAAUCCCUUCCUGCCCCCAGCACUAGGCAGGAGAGAAAGAUUACAGGGAAAAGAGAACAGAGACCUCCACAGGCUACGUCCUGUUGGUUGGGGUUGUGGUGUUUCGAGGGGUGAGUCAGCAACCCAGCAAUGGCAAGGGGAGCAACAACUGCUGCUGGCCUUCUUGGGGCUCUUGUUUUUAUGCCCUCUGCAGAGCCUCCACAACUAAACUAACUGCAGAUGGCAAGAUCACGCCCCUCUUGGAGCACCAGACAGUCAUAGCGGCUGUGGGCAAACUGAAGCUGUCCUAUAUCCCACACCUGGGCUUAAAACAAAAACACAUAACAUGGUGGGUCUUUAAGGAAACCAAAACUCUCAGGAUAUCUUGGGCUCUCUCUGUAGACCAGGCUGGCCUCAAACUCCCUCUGUAGACCAGACUUACCUCAAACUUAAGAGACCCACUUCCUCUGCCUCCUGAGUGCUGAGAUUAAGGGCGUGGGCCACCACUACCAGUUUACAACUAGUUUUAAAAACACUGGCUAAUGUGUGGAGAUGGACAAUAGCUUAGGUAGAGAGAAAGUUUAUUUUCUAAGUUGUCAGAAAAAAAAUUGUUAGCAAAAAUAAGUGUGCUGAUUGGGUUGGUUUGGUUUUUUGUUUUUUUUUUCCUCGAAUGUACUAUAUCUCAGCCAUAGUUUCCCCCUCCUCUUCCCGCAGUCCUCCCACAUCCUCCCCUCAGAAAAGAGCAGUCCUCCCAGGAACAUCAACAAAAUAAUAAGCUACACAGUAGGCCUAGGGCCUCCUGUCACAUCAAGGCUGCACGAGAGGCCACUCCGUAAGGGGAAGGUUCCCAUAAGCAGGCAAAAGAACCAGAACCUGGGACAGCCCCCACCCCCACUGUUAGGAUUCCCACUAAACCACCAAGCUACUCGGCCAUAGCAUACUCGUAAUUAGCUCAGGCUAGUUUAUGUCAACUUGACGUGAGCCAGAGUUAUGAGAAAAUGCCUUCGCAAGGGGUCAUGGACAGCAGCUGUGUGGCAGGCCUGAAGUCCCUGAAAAGAGCCCAGGAGAGGCUAGAGGUGAAAGUACAGCCCAGAUGCAGUAGAAGACUCCAGCAUUUUGGAGAUGCCAGAACCAGGGGACAACCACCAAGAACAUCGGAAGGCGUGGAGGGGAGCCAGCCUGAUCCUGGAAGGCAAACUGUGCUGCAGAGGGCGGAGCCAGAGAAGUGACCCAGGCCCUGAGAGAACCCCAGACACUGGGUGCCGAGUUACACUGUUGGAACUUGGUUUUGCUUUGUUCAGACUGCAACUGUGGGCUGGUUCUUCUCUGAGGCUGGGCAUGGUGGCUCUUGCUUGUAAUUCCAGCUCUCCAAAAGGAAGCUGCAGCAGGAUUGCCUUGAACUUGAGGCUAGCCUGGGCUACAUACAGCGUGUGACUAUCUUAAAGACAAAAACAAAGCAAGCCAGUUGUAGUACCACAAAGCUAUGAUCCUGGCACUUGGAAGGAAGAUAUGAAGCUCAAGGUCAUCCCCAGCUACACAUGGAGUUAAAGAUUUAUUUAUUUUACGUAUAUAUGAUGCUGUCUUCAGACACACCAGAAGAGGGCAUUGGGUCCAUUACAGAUGGUUGUGAGCCACCAUGUGGUUGCUGGGAAUUGAACUCAGGACCUCUGGAAGAGCAGCCAGUGCUCUUAACCACUGAGCCACUUCUCCAGCCCCAGGACCAAUUUCUAACAACUUGGAGGUUUCUAUAGAAUCCAAGUGUUCCAAGUGUUCCCAGUUCAUACAGCGCACGGGACUGAUGCAACCAUCAUGGGGCGAAGCGCGCACAUAUGAGAAGCUGGACACAGCCAGAUUGUUGCUCAUCUCGUACCCGCAGUCCAAGAGCCUCAGUCUGAGGAGCUGGCCCGUCGUCUACCUUCACACCCCUAUGUUCAUUCUGACAGCUGAGAAGAUGACCAUGUAACCACAGAAGAUCUUCCGCCCCAUUCAACAACAUGCAGACUUAGAGCGAGGUAGAGAUUAGCGCGGACCCAGUGGCACUGUUUUCUGUGUAUUUUUUUAUUAUGUAAAAAAAAAAAAAAAAAAAGGCUUUCCGGAAGCUGUAUUUGGCAUGAGCUACGCCACUGCUAGGGCUGCCAGCGGCCAGGCACAGGUGCGGUGCGUGAGGCCCUGAGGAGUGGGAAGGAGGAGGUGCAGGCAGGAAAUAACCAGCUCAGGCCCCGCCCUAGGAGCCCGCAGCGCAAGGAAGGCCGUGCAGUAGUGGGGACAAUGUGAUCCUCUUUGGUCAGGCGAAGACCCUUUAUAUGGGCCCAGAAGGCAAAAGGGCACAGGCUCAGCCCUGGAGCCCCAGCUGUGAAGGCUCAUUACACAGGGGCAUGAGGCAAGGCGAGAAGUCAGCAGUGCCAGGCUGUCACAGUCCAGCUCUUAGGAACCGCCCUUGUCUCUGUCAUCUAUCAGGUCGUACCUAGGGAAGCAAGGACAGAGCUCAGGCGGAAUGAAGAAGGCUCGUAUGUCAGUUUUGGUAUAGAGCCCAGGCUGAUCUUGAACUCUCAAUUCUCCAGCUUCCCUCAGGCUAGAACCACAGUCAUAAGCCACCAUGCCCAGCUGGGUUCUCUCCUACGUGAAAAACAUGCCAAGGGGUCCUGUGGUUCUCACUUUCAUUACAUCCUGUGAUUGGGAUUUCUCCCCUGGCAUAGCCAGCCCCACCUACUCCUUUGCAGACACUCACCACUGGGCUGCACCCUGGGAAAGGUCUAUCUCUGCUAGAUCCAGCUGCACCUGGGUCAGAAGGUGACGAGGCAAGAUGUCAUUCUGGUACUUUUUAAAGAACUCUUUAUCAACAUACUUUAUCGUUUUGAACCCCUAUGUGAUGCAGUCACGCCUCGGGUGAAUCCCUAUGUGAUACGGUCACGGCCCGGGUGAACCCCUGUGUGAGGAUAUGGUCACAGCCCAGGUAAACCCCUGUGUGAGGAUACGGUCACGGCCCGGGUGAACCCCUGUGUGAGGAUAUGGUCACAGCCCAGGUAAACCCCUGUGUGAGGAUACGGUCACGGCCCGGGUGAACCCCUGUGUGAGGAUACGGUCACGGCCCGGGUGAACCCCUGUGUGAGGAUAUGGUCACAGCCCAGGUAAACCCCUGUGUGAGGAUACGGUCACGGCCCGGGUGAACCCCUGUGUGAGGAUACGGUCACGGCCCAGGUAAACCCCUGUGUGAGGAUAUGAUCACACCCCAGAUGGCCCCAGAGCUUUAGUCCAUGCCCGCUCACCUUCCCCAGAAGCUCACGCUCUCUUGACAUGAAGGAGGAGUUUGACUUCACAGAGACAUCGAGCUUCCUCCUAAGAGUCCCAUCCAGGGGCAGGUCCCAUUCAAACCUGGGGAAGACACUAGAUCUUAGCGAUACAGGCCUCCCCAGCCCCCGCUGACGCACCAUGCCCAUUUACUGACCGCUCAUUGAACUCAGGAUUGAGGGUCCUCUUCUUCUGUGAGGUCUUCCUCUUGGUGCCUCGGUUCUUGUCUGGGAGCAGCAACACUGACACAUAGGGGUCUGGGAGAUCACGUCCAUUUUGUCGAAGGGCCCUGCACCAAGGA